This 149-nucleotide unclassified non-coding RNA is filed under the name uncultured Degelia. RNAcentral's name for it is "sequence contains ITS1". The record is from RNAcentral. Lineage: Eukaryota; Fungi; Ascomycota; Lecanoromycetes; Peltigerales; Pannariaceae.
CCGAGUGAGGGCCUCCGGGUCCGACCUCCAACCCAUUGUUGACCGACACCUGUUGCCUCGGGGGCGACCCGGACGCCGACGCGUCGGGCCCCCCGAUGGACCCUUUCAAACACUGUGUCUGUACGUCGGAGUACUUGAUAAAUCAAUUA